Molecule: long non-coding RNA, 723 nt
Organism: Myotis brandtii (Brandt's bat)
Lineage: Eukaryota; Metazoa; Chordata; Mammalia; Chiroptera; Vespertilionidae
Exons: 2
Source: RefSeq, a predicted model, not a curated record
UGAAACCAGCCUCUCCCCAGGCUCAGCCACUCUGCCCAACCCAGUUCCAGAAUCCCCUUCUGCCCGCUUUCCCCCUUGGGGGAGCAGAGAGGCCUCGGAAGGCCAGUGGGUUCAGGGCCCAGCCAGCCCCGACUGGCUUCACCCAGUAAGGAUGCGGCGCCUCCCCACUUUCCAGCAACCAAUUUCCUCCCCUUCGCCCUCAAUUCACAUAAAGGCCUGAGAGCCACCCCCAAAAGAGCACCCCACGCUUCACAUCCCGCGCCCAUGGGUCUCCCAGGCUCAGGAGUAACAGAGAUACAGCCCUGGCCAGGUUACCUCCCAAGAGGGCGGUGACCCUUAGAGCGCCCUCCGGAGGCACCAGGCUCCCCGAGGAGUGACCCUGAGCAUCCUCCUUCCUCCCGGGCCUGCCGCCACUCAGCAGCCGUCAGGAGGGGCGGAUGGACCCACUGACAGCCCUCCCGCCUCCUCCCCUUCUCCCAUCCAUCCUCCCUCCUCUCCGGUGCCUGGAAGGAGCUACCUCAGUGUCCAGAAACUCUCCUCCUCUCUGCGGCGGUGGACAGCCGGACUCUGGGGGAACCUGGGAUGGCUACGGCAGGUCCGUGGGAGUUUAGCAAGGAUGGCCAAUUCUCAGGGAUGCUCAGACCUGCCCUGGCAGGGCCAGCAAACUACACUCAAAACCUGGCCCACCGAUUGUUUUUAUAAAUAAAGUUUUAUUAGAACACA